RNAcentral lists this ribosomal RNA (459 nucleotides) under uncultured Pelotomaculum sp. RNAcentral's name for it is "bacterial SSU rRNA". It matches the Rfam family "Bacterial small subunit ribosomal RNA", at positions 925 to 1382 of the family's 1533-position model. The record is from RNAcentral. Lineage: Bacteria; Bacillati; Bacillota; Clostridia; Eubacteriales; Desulfotomaculaceae.
ACAAGCGGUGGAUGAUGUGGUUUAAUUCGACGCAACGCGAAGAACCUUACUAGGGCUUGACAUCCCCUGACCGCGUAUGAAAGUACGUUUUCACCCUCGGGUGACAGGGAGACAGGUGGUGCAUGGUUGUCGUCAGCUCGUGUCGUGAGAUGUUGGGUUAAGUCCCGCAACGAGCGCAACCCCUACGUUUAGUUGCUAACGCGUGAAGGCGAGCACUCUAGACGAACUGCCGUUGACAAAACGGAGGAAGGUGGGAUGACGUCAAAUCAUCAUGCCCCUUAUGUUCUGGGCUACACACGUGCUACAAUGGCCGGUACAGACGGACGCAAAGCCGCGAGGUGGAGCAAAUCCUAAAAAGCCGGUCUCAGUUCGGAUUGCAGGCUGCAAUUCGCCUGCAUGAAGCCGGAAUCGCUAGUAAUCGCAGGUCAGCAUACUGCGGUGAAUACGUUCCCGGGCCUU